CCUACGGGCGGCAGCAGUGGGGAAUAUUGCACAAUGGGCGCAAGCCUGAUGCAGCCAUGCCGCGUGUGUGAAGAAGGCCUUCGGGUUGUAAAGCACUUUCAGCGGGGAGGAAGGCGGUGAGGUUAAUAACCUCAUCGAUUGACGUUACCCGCAGAAGAAGCACCGGCUAACUCCGUGCCAGCAGCCGCGGUAAUACGGAGGGUGCAAGCGUUAAUCGGAAUUACUGGGCGUAAAGCGCACGCAGGCGGUCUGUCAAGUCGGAUGUGAAAUCCCCGGGCUCAACCUGGGAACUGCAUUCGAAACUGGCAGGCUAGAGUCUUGUAGAGGGGGGUAGAAUUCCAGGUGUAGCGGUGAAAUGCGCAGAGAUCUGGAGGAAUACCGGUGGCGAAGGCGGCCCCCUGGACAAAGACUGACGCUCAGGUGCGAAAGCGUGGGGAGCAAACAGGAUUAGAUACCCUAGUAGUC
This 465-nucleotide ribosomal RNA is filed under the name uncultured Klebsiella sp. Its description in RNAcentral is "bacterial SSU rRNA". It matches the Rfam family "Bacterial small subunit ribosomal RNA", at positions 338 to 795 of the family's 1533-position model. Lineage: Bacteria; Pseudomonadati; Pseudomonadota; Gammaproteobacteria; Enterobacterales; Enterobacteriaceae. The record is from RNAcentral.